GAGUGCGUCCAACAAUGAAAAGAGAGAAAAAGAAGAGGGUGACCAAACAGGAGCUGAUCUGAAGGAGAGAGCUGAGAUGAACCACUCUGACUCCAAUCUAUUUGUUCACGGACUGCUCGGUCGGUGGUGUGUGUGUGGGCCAGGGGCUUCCCCCAGUCUAGUUCAGCCUUCAGCCUGUUCUCAUGCUAGUACAUCUCACCCCCAUCCUCAUAAUAUGUAAAGUUACGAUAUGGGGGUAGUUUAGUGUUAGCACACAGUUAGGUAACACACUGCCAGGAUACACUUCCACACUGCAGGCUGCAGGUUUUUCUUUGGCGGCCAUGAGGCCUUUUGUUUGUUUUGUGUUUGUUUUGUCUUUGGUAUUUUUCCUUUUUUGUACAUAUUUAAGUUUCGUCACCAUCUGAACAAAUAAUAAUCUGCUUGGACUGGCCGAUUAAGAGGUCAAAAAGGAGCUGGCCCUGGACCUAAGUUACUCACCCGGAUCAUUUACCCCAUUCCCGUCUGGUCGUCGGAGGAUUCCGCUACCCCAUUGGAUCCACCUAUUUACUCCCAUCAACUCACCACCGCUGCCCGCUACGCCACCUGGAUAUAUCUACCCAUUCACAUUCACUUGUAAAUAAAUACUCAGAACGAUCCGGCCAAGGAUGAACCCAGCGGACCUGGACUCCGUUUGCCAUGCCAUUACCCAGCAGGGGAAGACAUUGGGACAACACAAGACGGCGCUACAGGAGAUAGCGGGUUCAAUCCAGAACUUAUCUGCUAGCUUGACACAAAUCCAGGAUCAGCUCAGUUUGCCGGCGAUUCAUUCACCACCUGUUUCACCCAUCUCACCUGCCGUGUCUGGUGCGGUUUCCUUCCGUGAGCCCAAGGUUCCGACACCGGAGAAGUAGUACGAUGGAGAUCUGGGAGGAUGCCGUUCAUUUCUUUUACAGUGUGGGUUGGUUUUUGAUCUCUAGCCCUACUCUUACACCACAGAUAAGGCUAGGAUAGCUUUUGUUAUUGAGCUGCUGCGUGGUAGAGCUCUGGAAUGGGCUUCAGCUGUUUGGGAACGACGGGACACAUGCAUGACGUCAUACCAGGGUUUCACGGCAGAGAUGAGAGAACUUUUUGACCAUCCAGUCCGAGGUAAGGACGCAGCUAAACGUUUGUUCUCUCUUCGCCAAGGAGCUCACAGUGUGACAGACUUUGUGAUAGAAUUCAGGACAUUGGCUGUGGAGAGUGGUUGGAAUGAGGAAUCACUACAAGCGUUUUUUUACCAGGGGUUGUCGGAGCAACUCAAGGACGAGCUGAUCUCCUAUCCAGAGCCUAGUGACCUAGAUAGUUUGGUCACCUUAGCUAUUCGGGUAGAUAAUAGAGUCCGAGAGAGGAGGGAGAAGCAGUGGGGUCCAUCUAAUCAAUCUGAGACUCGGUUACCAUUCGGGUCAGGAAGUGGACCAGAACGGGUUGAACAUUUUCCCUCACACUGGAUUAGUGGAGGAGUCCUGCCGCCAGAUCCUGAACCUAUGCAAGUGGGACGGCACGGGUUAACUAAGGACGAGCGCCAACGUAGACGUGAGACCAACAGCUGCCUCUACUGUGGUAGCUCGGGACAUUACAUCUCCGUUUGUCCUCAGCGCCCGUUAAACUGCUCGGCUCGUUAAGUUUGGGAGGUUUGUUAGCGAGCCAGUUUCAACCUCUCAAGAGCCCUGUCAGACCUCGUUUUCCUGCUACCCUCAUAAAUAAGAAUCAGAGUUUAGCGAUUAACGCUUUCAUCGAUUCAGGUGCCGAUGACAGCUUCAUUGAUGCCGACUUAGUGGAACAGCUGGGGCUUUCCAAGGAGCAAUUACCGGAAGCCGUUGAAUCAACCACUCUGAACGGCAGUAGUCUGGCACGGAUCACUAUGAGGACUGAACCGGUUAAGAUGUUGUUGUCGGGGAAUCAUUCAGAGGUUAUUUCUUUUUUCAUUUUGCCUUCCCCCCCAUGUUCCUCUGGUUCUUGGAUACCCCUGGCUAAGAGAACACAAUCCUUCGUUCGAUUGGGUGACUGGUAAGGUAACUAGUUGGAGCAUUGAGUCCCAUGCUAACUGCCUCAGGACUGCCUGUUCUCAUGCUGUCCCCAGUCGGGUCAGUGAGUCUGCUCCUCCUGAUUUGUCCCUGGUUCCUGAAACAUAUCACGAGUUGGGUGAGGUGUUCAGUAAGCAGAAAGCUCAGUCACUUCCUCCCCACCGACCUUAUGAUUGUACAAUUAAGCUGUUCCCUGGAGCUGCCUUUCCCAAGGGACGGUUAUACAGUAUUUCUCGACCUGAGCGAGAAGCCCUGGAGACCUACAUAAAGGAGUCUCUUGCUGCAGGUCUCAUUCGUCCCUCGUCAUCACCCCUGGGAGCUGGAUUUUUUUUUGUGAGUAAGAAGGAUGGCUCUCUUCGACCGUGUAUUGAUUUAUCGGGGGUUGAAUGAUAUUACGGUCAAGAACAAGUACCCCUUGCCCUUGAUGAGCUCCGCUUUCGAUUCUUUACAGGGUGCUACUGUGUUUACGAAGCUUGAUCUACGCAAUGCGUAUCAUCUGGUUCGGAUCAAAGAGGGGGACGAGUGGUUGACUGGAUUCAAUACACCUAUGGGACAUUUCGAGUACCAGGUGAUGCCGUUUGGACUUUCCAACGCUCCAGCAGUGUUCCAAGGUUUGGUGAAUGACGUGCUGAGGGAUAUGAUCGGUCUGUUUGUGUUCGUUUACCUGGAUGACAUCCUGAUUUUCUCCAAGGAGCUUUCCAGCCAUAUCCAGCAUGUUAAGCAGGUCCUGCAGCGGUUAUUGGAGAACCGUCUGUUUGUGAAGGCAGAGAAGUGUGAUUUUCACGCCCACACUACAUCCUUCCUCGGGUACAUCAUCUCCAGGGGUGAGAUCAAGAUGGACCAAGAGAAGGUUCGGGUGGUUCGGGAUUGGGCCC
Molecule: long non-coding RNA, 2917 nt
Organism: Oncorhynchus nerka (sockeye salmon)
Lineage: Eukaryota; Metazoa; Chordata; Actinopteri; Salmoniformes; Salmonidae
Exons: 3
Source: RefSeq, a predicted model, not a curated record